GGGGAUGUAGCUCAAUUGGUAGAGUGCUUGCCUUGCAUGCAAAAGGCCCUGGGUUCAUUCUCUAGCACCACCA
This 73-nucleotide transfer RNA is filed under the name Ictidomys tridecemlineatus (thirteen-lined ground squirrel). Its description in RNAcentral is "Spermophilus tridecemlineatus (thirteen-lined ground squirrel) tRNA". It matches the Rfam family "tRNA". Rfam says of the family: Transfer RNA (tRNA) molecules are approximately 80 nucleotides in length. Their secondary structure includes four short double-helical elements and three loops (D, anti-codon, and T loops). Lineage: Eukaryota; Metazoa; Chordata; Mammalia; Rodentia; Sciuridae. The record is from Rfam by way of RNAcentral.